Molecule: long non-coding RNA, 3274 nt
Organism: Sitodiplosis mosellana (orange wheat blossom midge)
Lineage: Eukaryota; Metazoa; Arthropoda; Insecta; Diptera; Cecidomyiidae
Exons: 3
Source: RefSeq, a predicted model, not a curated record
GAUUUUUCAUCGGAUAAAUCUAAAACGUAAUAUUUUUUUCCCGAAACGGUCAGAAAAAUUUCUUUUUUGGCUAUAAAAACUAACUAAAUUUGGUAUAUUUUUUUGCCGAAAAAUAAUCGGAAAAAUAUUACCUUUUGUCAGAAAAAAUUCAAUUCUGUGAAGAAAAUGAACUAAAUUGGGCUGAAAUAUAUCUAAGAAUGUUUGCUUAAAAAAUCAAAAAAAAAGCAAAUUCUGUCGACAAAUGUUCUACUUUGGAGAGAAAUAUUUCCAAAAAAACAAGAGACAUUUUUGUCAGAAAAUAAUCCAAAAUGUCAGACCGAAAGAAUUUUUAUCAAAUUUAAAUGUGUCAUGAAUGAAGUUUGAACAUUUAAAUGAAACGUUUGCGUGUGUUUUAUGUUCGAUUCGGUUUCCAACUGGUUUGAUUCAAGUGGAAUUUGUAAUAGGUCAUCGGUUUUACCAUUUUAUGAUAAUGUAAUACAAUUGACGCAUGAACUGAUAAAUAAAUCGGCGAUGAUUGACUAUAUUUUGCGUCACCAGAACAAGAAUAAAAAAAAAUCUUUCGUUGAUGCUCAAAAAUGUUCUCAAGAAUGCGAAGCGAACAAAAUGAAAUCGUUAGGAGUUUCUUGUAAAACCGAUAAACGAUGUGAGUCAUUAAAAAUUCAACCCGCAUUUUGACUAUUCAUCGGAUAACGACGCAAAAGAUGAAGAUAAAAAGAAAAAUUAAAGGAAAAAUGAAAUUUCAAAUACGCAUAACAAUCGAUUUUGCUUCAAAUGCUUUUAGCUUUAUUUCAGAGAAUUUAAUUGUCGUACAUACAAUGGAACUUGGACACAUUUAGAAUAAGCCAUUUCAAUCAUCUAUUUUGCAGUUUUUUUUUGAUUUAAUUUGUUUUUUAAAUUUUGCAGUGAAUUUUUAGGCCCCUCUCUCUAUUUAUUAUCUUACAUACAUAGAAUAAUUUUAUGGCCUCAUGCCGUCCAUUUUUACCGUUCUAUAAUUGGUUUUUUCUGCUUAAAAUCAACAUUGAAAUAAAGUUCCUGUUUGUAUGUGCUUUUUUUGUUUAAAAUAACGUCAAAAAUGCUUAAAAUUAUUAUUGUCAAAUAACAUCUCGUAUCAUUUGUUUUUUUCAUUUAUAUAUUUGAAUAUAUACUGCAGAUGUGUGCGUUGAGAGAAAAUCUCAAUCUGUUCUCUCUAUCUUAGUGCUUUAUUUAUCGUCUUGUAUAUAAUAAUUUACAUAGAAUGCAUUUGUUUUCAAUGAUAAACUACGAUGGGACAUUUUCAUCAAAACGAAUAACAAUUAAUUUUAAUAUUGGCUUGUUAAUUUUGAGUGUGUGUGUAAGUGUAUGGGGUCGUGGGAAUGUGGGUGUGUGUAUAUAUGUGGGGGGAGGGAGAUUUAAAACAACCAAAUUUCAUUAAAAAUCAAUUCAUUCCUUAAAAAUGAUCAAAAUAAAAUAUUUUGAACUUUUCACUAAAGCUAUGGCUGUUGAAACUAUUCGUUGUGCUUUUAUCAACAAGCUCAAAAUAUUUAUCCAUUACGUCAUAGAAUGUUGUUAUUGUUGUGAUAUAAAUGCUUCUUUUUGUUUUGUUGUCUGAUGUGUAUGUAUCAACUUAAACAGAACUUAAACUUUAAUCGCUUGUUUUUAAUCGUCUUUUUGUUUUGUUAUGUUUGGUUUUGUUUUGUUUUUUUUUUUUAACUAAAUCACACUGUAAAUUAAUGGAAAUGCGUUAGUUGCUGUCCAGGAACAAAAUCGUCUCCCAUGAGAAAAUCAAACGGAAUGAAUUAGGGUUCAAGUUGCUUUUUUGCCUUGUCUUUUGGAUAACAGUUCACAAUUAUGUAGUUACGCAGUAAAUGGUAUGAUAGUAGCCUAAUGAGAUUUUGUGUUGUUGCCGUGGUGGUGGUGAUGGUGAUUGAUGACGCUGUUGCCAUCCCCAUGAAAAUUGGUGUAAAAAUUGCAAUUAUAACGAUGUACCGGUCGAUAUUACUGUUUCGUUCGGCAGACGGAAAUUUAAACCUGAGCCGGUUUUAUCUUUCCAACAACCAUCAUCAACUUUUGAAGACAUCUCGUUAAGCUUACUGUAAAUAGAUAUAUGAAUACCGAUUAGUGAGUUAUAUUGCAAACGAACGAAUACCAGAACAGGCAUUUGUCACAUGGCGCUAUCUGAUUAUAAGAGAUGAACGAGCCUCUCAUAAUUUUGACAGAAUUUUGACUACAGAUUACACCACUUAUGCACUAUUUUAAUUCAUUCAACCAGAUCCGUGAUCUUUUUGAAGAAGAUCAUUUCCGCACACAUAAACAAAACAGAAAUAAACAUGUGGUGCUAAUGCUAUGUGCUAAUCAUAUUCUCAUUUGCAAGUGCUUCGACGAAGAGGUAUCGCGCUUUUUUUUCGAAUAGUACUGGCGAAAAAACUUGAUCCUUUCUUAACUACUGUGCUUCAGUAUACAAACAGGUAACAAUUAUUCGAAUAACACAAACUCACCCGUUUAUUGUCAAAUUUUGAACUAUUGUAGAGCGCCGUGGAUUUCGUACGGCAAAAUUCAGUACUAAUUGGUGUGAUUUCGUGGUAUUUCACAAUAUGUCGAAAUCACUUACGGCUAUUUACAGCUCAAUCACACCAAUAAGUACUGAAUUUUGCCGCACGAAAUCUACGUCGCCCCACAAUUUCACACUUCGUUUUCUGUAUACAAUCAAUGCGAGAUUAUAAGUGUGUGCACAAACUUCACAUAGCAAAGAGAGUGACUCGAAUUUCGAUAAAAAUUCUGUGACCGUGUAUUUUUGACCGAUUUCUAGUCUAGAAAUUCUAGAUUGUUGGCUAAGGUUUUGGUUUCGAUUCAAGCUGUUCAACUUUGUCUAAAAACUAUUGAUAAAGCUAUUAGAAACUAAUUGCUAUUCAAUUUAUUGAAACUAAUCUAAUAUUUGAAAUUGAAAAGCAAAACCAUGUGCAAAACCUACAAUCAAAUCUCAUCAUGUGAUAGAAUAGAUAAAUAUGUAAACUGUCGAGAACAAGAGGCUGAACUUAGCAUUUUUGACUUUACACGGUUCAGCUGUGAGUUUUUAUGAUUGAAAUUUAUUUAUUACUUCCUGGUUGCUAUUGGUAAAUAACGGCCAAUUUAUGUUGUUUAGAAUAAAUUUAAUCCGAGGUGUAAAAUGGAUUUUCGUCAGAAGACCAAAUUUUUCGAUAAAUGAUUUCUCGAUGAGAAAUUGAUGCUAAACUCCAUUCCGGCUAUUAAUAAUGUUAAAAGUAUUUCAAAUAUUUUUUCACACCAAGACAUUUGAAAA